Molecule: non-coding RNA, 3153 nt
Organism: Macaca mulatta (Rhesus monkey)
Lineage: Eukaryota; Metazoa; Chordata; Mammalia; Primates; Cercopithecidae
Source: RefSeq, a predicted model, not a curated record
UCUCAGAGAGCGCUGACUCUAAAAAUACCCGGCUCUGCAGAAGCACGCUGGGCCCAGGGGGGCUUCUAGACUGACAGCUCCAUUUAUCAACUACCUAUUGGUUUUAAAAAUUAGCGUGUCUUUUCCGCGUUGACUGAUUUUGGCUCUAAGAGAUUUCGCUGAUCAUUUCAGAGUGACUGAAACUCCCCUCUAACAGAUCCCGGGAAUUGUUUUUAGGAAAGGUAAAAGGCAGUCUUUUCUGUUGCAACACAAAGCUGAGCCGGCAGCCUGUCUUUGUCAGGAUGUGGGGCUCCAGCGCCCGAGAAGCCCAGCCUCGCCCGCAGUCAAGUUCACAGCGAGGCCGAGCGCUGCCUCGGCUGCGCGGCGCUCCCGGACCCACACCGACCGCACCGCGCGCCGCCGGUGCUUCUCCCACCCCAGCCUAGAAGCUGCCUCCCUCCGCCUAUCCCUGCAGGAUAAGAAGCCCGAGGAGGCGGAGCGUGGAACUCGACAGUUAAAACAUUUAAGAGAGAAAACUUAGUGUCUUGUUGGCCUGAAAUCGAGUACACAGCCCGGGGUGAUCAGGGGAUGUGUGAGAAUUGCUUCCCCUGGGCAAUAGGCGAUAUGUGCUUUAGGAGGAAGAUAUGUCUCCUCCUGAGCCCCAGAGGGGAGAACUUCCAAAGACAGAAAACCACAGGGUUCCUGGCACAGAGCUUUCCCUUUAUCAGCUAAAACAGAAUCUUUCCUGACCUCGACCUGGCCCCUUCCUCUAACUGUAGGCAGAGAGGCAGACAAGAAAGCACUUGGUGAAACACGGAGUUUUGUUCAAUCCUCAACGAACUGUCCAGAGUUGAUUGCUGAUAGCCGUGGUGCUUUCUGCCUUCCUGGUUUUCAUUUAAUUGGGUACCGCGCUGCCUUUCAAGACACCUUAAAGGAACCAACAGGCAAAUCCAAGAGAGCUGGACAGACCACUGAACACACAAUAGGCUGUGUCUCGUGGCCUUCGUUGUCUGGUGCCUCAAACAAAACACCAGAAAGAUUGUUUCUAAGCUAGAGCCACCCCAGGUUGCUCAAAGUGCAAAGCUCACUGCUACUGGGCGUACCCUUGUGAGACACUGGAAAGCUGGUUUUACUGUGGCCCUGUGAAGAGGAAGGCUGAGAUUUAGACAGUAAUACCUUUACUGGGAUUGGAAAAGAUUUGGUUAAUGACAGUCCUGUCAUUUCUAAAACCCAUUAUCACUGUAUGAGAGAUUCUUUUGAGCUGCAUCCUCGACAGUGCUUCCUAAGCUAAGUACCUUGGAAACUAUUCAGCAGACGAUGAUAAAGAACUCUGAAAGCUAGCAGAAAAGAAGGUCUACUUGCAAGAAACCUCAGGACUUGAGAAACAGCAACAUGCAACCUUGUCUUUGACCUCGCCUGGCAUCCUGUGUGGUCAUGAGCCACAGAGAUGGAAAAGGCAACGUGGUAGAGGCAAGAGGAGGCAGGAGGUGGAAAAGAAGGACUAUCAGUUUGUUGAUGAAUACGUCACCUUUGCUUCAGUUAAAUCAAGUAGGAUGCAGUGACUCCAAGUCUGAGGGGUACUUCCCAGGAAGAGCAACCCCCCACAGCCAUUUGCAGAGCAUCGGAUCUUGGAGGUGCCUGAAGAUGUCUACAACUGGAAGAAAAGAAGCCACUGGAGCGGAAGGCGGGGAGGAUAAAGUUUGGAGCAAGAUUCUCAAGGAAGCAACAAGAUCCUAAGGCAAGUAAAUCUGAGUUUAGUUGGGAAAAGGAGGAUCAUUAGAAGACCAGGAGGGAAAGAAAAGGUGGUAGCGAGGCGUCUAGCCACUCUGUAUGGAGCGUUUCUGAGGUUGCUACCAGCACAGGGUGAGCACACUGCUCCGUGGGAGGGAUAUGAGACCUUGAAUACAGGAGUUGCUGUUGGGAAUGUGAAAUUUUUUCAACAAGAGGUCAGUACUGAAAGUGAUAGAGGCCCGGAACUAUAACCCGCUACACAACCAGGAAUUCCCAUUUUGACCAGUUACUAGCCAGGUUUGGGAACCCAAGGAUUAAUGCAGAGAAGGUGAGCGUGUACAGGUAUUCCUCCGGGUUGGGGAUUAACAAUGCAGAUUUGACAAAAAGUUGACAAUUCUUGGAAAGUAAAUAUGUCUCUCAGAAGGACCCGUAAUGACGGAAAAUGAUGGCUUAAUAUUUGUAACAUUAAAGUCCCAAGAGGAGAGGAUAAUGAGUGAGGAGCUGAAAAAAGUUUGAAAAAAUUAUGAUUAAAAAUAUUUCUGAAUUUGGCAAAACACAUAGACUUGUAGAUUUGAGAAGCUCAGAGAAUCCCAAACAGAAUAAGCUCAAAGAGAUUCUCACUUAAGAGACAUCAUAAGGAAACUACUGAAAACUAGAAACAAAGGAAUUAUCUUGAAAGCAGCAAUGAAAAAUGACAUUGUUUAUAAAAUUACAAUUAUUUAAAGGGUGUAGAUUUCUCAUCAGAAACCAUAGAGGCCAGGUCAGGCACUGUGGUGUAGGCUGUAAUCCCAGCACUUUGGGAGGCCCAGGUGGGUGAAUCACUUGAGGUCAGGAGUUCAAGACCAGCCUGGGCAAAACCUGGGCAAAACCCUGUCUCUACUAAAAAAUAUGAAACUUAGCCAGACGCUGUGGUAUGUGCCUGUAGUCCCAGCUACUCAGGAAGCUGAGGCAGGAGAAUUGCUUGAACCUGGGAGGCAGAGGUUGCAGUGAGCCAAGAUUGCGCCACUGCACUCCAGCCCAGGCGACAGAGCAUAGAAGCCAGAAUGCAAUAGAACAUUUCAAAAAACCUUGUUUUGAAAAAAUUAAGUUUCAUAAUGUCUCGUGUUCACUUUCUCUGAUUUUCCCUAGUGAUUAACAUCUUACCUAACUAUAGUAUAAUAUCAAAACCAGGAAAUCCACAUUGGUACAAUGUAUGUGUGUGCAUGUGUGUAUGAAGUUCUAUGCCGUUUUUAUCACAGAUGUAGACUGAUGCACGUUCAGCCACAAUCAAGAUACAGAACUGUGCCAUCACAACAAAGUUCUCCCUCAUGUUGUCCCUUUAAAGUCACACCCACUGCUCUCCCAUGACCCCAUCCAUCACUAACCCCUGGCAACCAUUACUCUGGUCUCCAGUUCUACAAUUUUGUAAUAUUGAGCAUUUUACAUAAAUGGAAUUAUACAAUA